Molecule: ribosomal RNA, 253 nt
Filed under: uncultured bacterium
Lineage: Bacteria
Description: partial 16S ribosomal RNA
Rfam family: Bacterial small subunit ribosomal RNA
Source: RNAcentral
UACGUAGGGUGCGAGCGUUAUCCGGAAUUACUGGGCGUAAAGCGUGCGUAGGCGGAUUUUUAAGUCAAGUGUUAAAUCUGCAGGCUCAACUUGCGGGCUGCACUUGAUACUGGAAGUCUUGAGAAUGGAAGAGGCAGACGGAAUUCCCGGUGGAGCGGUUAAAUGCGUAGAUAUCGGGAAGAACACCAAUGGCGAAGGCAGUCUGCUGGGCCAUUUCUGACGCUAAGGCACGAAAGCGUGGGGAGCGAUCGGG